CAAUCCCAAAGUUGUUUUGAAAUUUUUAUUUAUUAAAUAAAAGUUUUCUAAUGAAACAACAAUAACAACAACAAAAAACAAAUGGUCACAAUGGCUGGAGUUGAGCCAAUACGAAGCCAGGAGCCAGGAGCUUCUUCCAGGUCUCCCAUGUGGGUGCAGGGGCCCAAGGAAGGCCCAUCUUCCACUGCCUUCCCAGGCCACAGCAGAGAGCUAGAUCAGAAGAGGAGCAGCCGGGACUCGAACUGGUGCCCAUAUGGAAUGCUGGCACUCCAGGCAGCAGCUUUACCCGCUAUGCCAUAGUGCCGGCCCCAAGGUUUUUAAUUCUGUAACGACAGGCCCAGCCUAUCAUUCCAGAACAGCUCUAAGAGGCUCUGGAGCGAACACCUAGAAGGCUUACUGCUAUUUCUUCUCUCACCCCCUGAUUAACUGCAUUUGACUAAAAAUAUAUUUGGGAAAGUCUUUGGACAAGUUGCUGAUAUGGUCACAGAGCUGACCUGAGGCAAGCACAGGGGUCCAGCGGCCCAGGGAUCUAGGCAAGUCAGGAGGCCGAGAAGGACUCAGGUCAGUUUUUUGAGAAUUCUCUGUUUAUUCAUUUUAUUCCAUACUUUCUCAGUUGUUUGGAAUGCAUAGCAAUUUUCCCACAUAAUGGAUUCUGGCCAUCUAUGAUUGUAACAUUUACAGUCUAGGUGACCUACCUGAGUGUGAACUGGAAGCCCAUUUUUUUUUUUUUUCACAGGCAGAGUGGACAGUGAGACAGAGAGACAGAGAGAAAGGUCUUCCUUUGCCAUUGGUUCACCCUCCAAUGGCCGCCGCGGCCGGCGCACCGCACUGAUCCGAAGGCAGGAGCCAGGUGCUUCUCCUGGUCUCCCAUGGGGUGCAGGGCCCAAGCACUUGGGCCAUCCUCCACUGCACUCCCGGGCCAUAGCGGAGAGCUGGCCUGGAAGAGGGGCAACCGGGACAGAAUCUGGUGCCCUGACCGGGACUAGAACCCGGUGUGCCGGCGCCGCAAGGCGGAGGAUUAGCCUAGUGAGCCACAGCGCCGGCCCGGAAGCCCAUUUUAUAAGGUAAAAUGCCUGGUUUUGUUGGGGGGCAUGAAUUCAAAUCGACCUGUACUGCAGGCAACUGCACCUGAGAUCAGUUACCUAGUGACCAAACUCAGCUUGCUGCCCAGCCUCUUCCUCUCACAGAGCCCUUUUCAUUCUUUCUUCUUGUUCCAGGUGAGAAGGUUUGAGAUGUUUCCUUGGUAAAUGCCAUGAUCCUGAAUUGCCUCAUGACCACAACCCUAGCCCAGUCUGGGCUUCCUACACAUGCAAGAUCAAAAAGAAGGCCCACAGAGCACCCACAACAGAACAGAAUCUGUCACACAUUAUUUUUUAUUUUAAAUAUUUAUCUUUAAAAAUACUUAUUUAUUUGAAAGUUAGAGUUACAGAGAGGCAGAAGCAGAGGCAGAGGCAGAGAGAGAGAGAGAGAGAGAGAGGUCUUCUAUCUGCUGGUUCACUCCCCAAAUAGUUGCAAUAGCCAGAGCUGGGUUGAUCUGAAGCCAGGAGCCUGGAGCUUCUUAUAGGUUUUUCAUGUGGGUGCAGGGGCCCCAAGUACUUGGGCCAUCCUCUGCUGCUUUUCCAGGCACAUUAUCAGGGAGCUGCAUUGGAAGUGGAGCAGCUGGGGCUCAAACUGGUGCCCAUAUGGGAUGCUGGCACUGUAGGCAGUGGCUUUACCCACUAUACCUCAGUGCUGGCCCCCUCUCACACAUUAUUUGUUUAUCUUUUAUUAGGGGCCUGGCCCUAUUCUAGGUGGCACAAGAAAUACAAAGAUGAAUAUGGCCCUCAAAGAAAGUACCACCAGCAGGAGAGAAAACCAAGAACUCAAAUGACUGUAUUUUGGAGCAAUGUCCAAUGACUACUCUGUGGUAUUUUCCAACACCGACAGCCAAUUUUCUGAUUCUGUGAACACCAACUGGGUUUUCAACAAUUCAAUUCAGUUCUAUCUUGUGGGGCAGGAAUGUUCUACUCUCCACGCAUGCGGAUGCAUUCACAAUUCAGAGGCUUUCUGAACCCCAUUAUUUAGGGGUUUUUUAGAGAUUCUACUACAUAGCAAUGAAGGGUUAAAUCCCUGGACAUUGGGAGUGAACUAUAUCUCCAGUUCCUCUCCCUUCUCUUGAGGUUGGAGGGCAGGUUUGAAAGUUCCGAACUUCUAAUCAAGGCUUGGUAUUUCUGGCAACCAGGCCCCCUCCUGAAGCAGUCCAGGGGUCCCUAGCCCCAGUCUCCUCAUAAGCAUACACAAGACAUUUUUGUCACUCUGCAAAUUCCAAGGUUUUAGAACCUGUGUACCAGGACCUAGGGAUAAGAUCCAUUAUAUAUUCAUUUUUAUUAUAUCACAACAGCCAUAAGGAAAUUACAAGGCAAACCUUAUCUGACUUCAAAGAGACAAAGAUCACAUUCUCUUUCUUAAAACCACAUAUUGAAAUAGCAUGUUAUGGAAAAGGACCUGGACUCUGCCAGCCCUGUGUUUGACUUUGGGGGCAAAUCUCAUAGCCACCUUUCUGUUUCUUUAUUGGUAUCCUCAAUCCAUGGAAUGGAAUGGUGCCGAUCUCCUGGAAGGAUGCACAGUGUCUCAGAUCUCUGACAGUACAGCGGCUCCUUGAUGUAGAGUUAUUUUGUUUGCUUCUCUGUGCAGUCCUCUAUAGGGCUUAACUACAUUGCCAUUUUUUGUUGUUGUUUCCAGAAAUCAUGGCAAGAUGAGAUUACUGCUUGAAACUUGCAAUCCUAUUAUCUGUCAGCCUAUGAAAGAUAAAAAGUGCCACCAGUGUCUCCAGAAAGUAAUUUUUCAGUAGCCAUAGGUGACAAGAAUUACAUUUCUUUACCAGGACAUCUUGAUGUGGCACAUCAUAAAUAUUCAAGUUCUAUAGACUUUAAAAUAAGAUAUAAUAUUUCCUUUCUUUUAAAACACUGGCUUCAAGGUCAUGUUCAAUAUGAUUCAAAAAGUAGGAACUAGGAAUUCUUAUCCAUGAGAGCAGAGAAGCCUUUGGGGAGUGGGCUGAAGAUUGAGGAAGUUGAAACUGAAAAAGAAGCACAGACUAGAAUCAUAAAUCAUAGGAUGUGGGGUAUCACGUUUGGACCCACACAAAUGGGGCCUGUGCUCUGGUCCCAUGUUUUCAAAAGUCUGGUUCCAACUCUUCUUCAGUUAUGCCUUCCCAUGGGAUGAGAAAUUCAGGAGACCAAGGGGGAUACCCACCUGGGGCCCAUGCUCUCUCUAACAUGUUCCAGGUAAUAGGAACUUUGGCACUCUCUGCCCCAAUACAAGCUCUGCAUGCAUUUCUUCCCCAGACCUGUUCUAUUGUGGACUCAAAGGGUAGUCAAGGAGUGGUGGCCACUUGAUAGGGACAUUGGGUAAGCCAAAGAUAGACAAUGGCUGGGUGAGCACGGCUGACUGUAAUACACAUGUAGAAAAGAUCUUUCAUUAUUUGAUCAGAUCCAGGAGAGGCAAGAGAGAAAGGGGUAAUGUGUGGGCCAGGGACCUCUGUUACUUAUUAUUUUCCUAAGCCUGUAAAUGUUAGGGGUAGUCCUGUGUGUCCAGACUAGUAACUCUUCAAGCAAAAACCCUGAAUUUGUUAAUAGUUCCUCACAGAAUUGAGUUGGCUGGCUCUUAAGCUAGAUUCAAUCCUCGUUGUUUUUGCUUCUGUCUGCCAUGUCACUAAUAGGAAACAGUUUGUAGGACUAAUAUUUGCACUCCUGGUCCAUAGCUCUGAUCCUUAAGAUACUGGGUUAACAAAACAGAGACUGUGUGGCCUGGAAUUUAGGAGAAUCCCAUGAUGUCCACAUCCCAUGGGAGGAAGGAGUGGCAUUCAUUCGGGGUCUGAGUCAGAAACUUUCAUGGAGGUUUUGGAAUGAAAUAAGCCUUGUCCUGAGACGUAGGCUAACUGGAUCCUGGACUAGCCCCAUAUCUCAAAGGGCUCCACUCUUUGCUUCCCUAAACUUUUUAAAUUUCCCUUCUAAUGCCUAGGAUAGGGAGGAGACAGCAGAGCCAUCCAGGGGCAGGGAGGAGGGGGGAAACUCCAUGGCCCUGUAUUGGGAACCAGGUGCUCAUUUCUCUCCUUUAUGGCAUUUUUCUUUCCUCUACCACUCACAUGGAGUCAACUAGAUGCACCAGAAGCUCUGAGUCUCAUGCCCAUCCUGUCUUCUUGGGGCCUGGACCCCAGUUCUAGGAGUGCUGUCUGGAGAUUUAGCAAGCAGAUGUCUUCUGCUGGCUGCCCAGGUCUUGCAGGCCAAGAUCGGCCCCCACCUCCUAAGGACGCCUCUUCUGUGUUACUGCUGAACUCUCCACCUUCCACCUUUUUGGAUCCUCCUGAAUUCCUGGGGACCCCACAGCUAGCCAGGAACCUCCCGCCCCCAGAUGUGCAUUCUUCCGCCCUGCCCCACCCCAUGUCCUGCCUCUCCCUGCCGCCAUUACUGGAAGCCAGGUAGCCAUGUGGCCCAACCACCAGUGUCAGGCUCCCCCCCUCCCCCAUCCUAAUGGGAUUCCCUGCUUCUGCUUCCCUGGCUGCCCUCUGGCAAAGUUUUAAAAGGACCUGUUCCUGACACGUGGCUCUCUAGCCUCCUCCUCUGGUCUCCUUUCUCUUCUCUCCUGCCCACUCUCUCCUCUCAUCUCUCUCUUCUCUCCUCACUAGCCCCUCUCCUCUCUUGUCUCUCUUACACUCUCCUCUCUCUUUUUUCCCUUCUUCACCCCACCCCUCUGGUCUGCUGGGUUUUAGGUCAAGUGCCUAAGCCCUACAUGGCCAACUGAAUAUGACAUCAUGGGCCUAAGGUGUUCUUAGGAAAAAUGCAACUGUAAAAAGACACUGAGUUUGAAGGAAGAAAGCCACAGAGGCCUAAAGAGUUAAAUGUUCUGUAAAAUCCUACAGAUGCUUUCAACAAUGCUAUGUGAAGUAUGUGCCUCUUGUUGAGUUUAUAAUGAGUUUAUAAUUUUAAAUGUGGCAACUUAAAGUCUUUUGUCAUCCACAGUUUUAUAUAUCAGAUUUGCUGCUCAUAAAACUAAAGCGUUGUUGGUUCUGUGCUUAGCUGCUCUCCUAUAAAUUCUGAUGGACUUUUUCCAGCCACUUCUAUUGUACUCAGUACUUUGGGAUGGCACUGUAAACAGAUGAAGCCAAUAAUGUAUUACAGGUACCAACUGAGAGAAAGUAUGGUUAGCUGAGGUUACUAACAGCAGAAAGUAAUUCGAAUCAAUUGGUAAGUCAAAAAAACAGUUAAAGAGUUUAAAAAGCUAGUAUCAAAACUGCUAUAUUUGUUAUCUAAUGAUUGAAACUGCUUUCUAAGUUUUCAUUUGAUAUUGCUAUUGUCAGUAAGUGAUCUGGGACUUGAGCACCCCCUUGACUUGCAUCCUCUGGUCUGCUUUAACAAAAACCAGGAGGAAGAGAAAGCUAGGCAUCAGAAAUGGAAAGAUAGGUGGCAGACCUAUUAAUAGCUGUUCUGCACAGUGAUCUGCCCUCAAGGAGACCCAACAGACCAGUCCACUGCAGUGGUUUUCAAUGUGGUAAGCCUGGGCUUCAGCAGAAGUCAGCUUGUGAAGAGCCCUGGCAGCUCUGCCAGCCAAGAGUUGGAUCACUGGAAAUGGACCUGCCCUGGAGUCGAAGGACUUCAGGUCAGAGCCACGGAUCUUGCUGGCUCUAAGCUGAAAAGCCCUUCACUCAGCCCAGCUUCCAAAGUGACCACCACAGCUGAGGGGAUGGCCAAGUAGGAUCAGCAGCACUGCAGGCAGAACUGUAAAUUUCCUGUUAGAGAUGCCACCUGCCUUUACCUGGCCAGCUUUUCUCCCAGGCCAGUUAGGUAAUGGAAGUCAACAGGGUGCCUUCGCCAAGGAGGUUCACACCUCCCUUAGGAUGUACCCUAUGAAGAGAUAGGUCUGGGCCUCUUAACUUAUAAGGCCUAAAGCCUACCAGAUUAUUAUCAAGCCCCUUCUGUCAGGUUUUAUUUGCCUCUCAAUCAGCAAACUUAGUCAUGGCUUAGACAGCACCUUUCUUGGGUCCUCUAGUAAUGAUUCUGUCCUUUGUUCUAGACCCUGUCUAGCCCACUUGGGUCUCAUUCCUUUGUAAUCAUAGCCUCUACUCAAACAUCAGUGGCUCUGCUAUCAACCUGUGUGUACUGAUGGUCCUCUCCUCCACUUAAUUUGCAUGAUUAUUCAGAAUUUCUCUACAGACAAACCCCUCUACAUGCAAAAGUUGAGUGGCCUUUCUCUCAGUCUUGGCUGGGAUCAGAUUUAAACCAUGUCCAUCAAACAAUCCUCACAAGGGUCCAGAGACCCCCCCCUCAUUUCCUCUCCUCUAUGAAAUCCUUUCAUUACCUGGUUAAUGCCACUCUUAGGAUCAUUGGUUGCUAUUCUCACCCUGACUUAUAUACUACAGUGUCUGUUUAAGUGUUUAUAGCAGGUGAUAAUGGAAUGAACCACGGCCUUCAGCAACCAGGCAGUCAACCAAAUGCUUCUCCAUCCAUACAUGCCUGUCCCUGCGGAGCCCCAAGAUACCCCCAGCGGGCCCCUGUAGACGACGUCCCCAGUCAGCAGGAAGUUGCCAGAGACUCAUCGUCGCCCCCUUUCCUAUCAUCAAAAGGUCGGGAUGAUAACUUCGGGAUCCACAAGGAGGGAAGGCCUAUACUUCUAGGAAUGGAGAGGCCUACUUCCGGGGAAGAAAGUCCUUGUCAAGGUCCCUGCGGGUGCCUAAAGGUCAACUAAUGAGGAUCAGACCUGCGUCAACCUUUAACCCCCAUGCCCUGAAUCUAUAAAAGGAGCCCUCCCAAUCUCUGACGCACGACUUCCCCGGCCCCCGCUCUGUUGCUCUGUUGGGACCGGGGAACCUUGCCCGGGAGCGGAACCCCAAUAAAAGCCUGUGAAUUAAUUGAUUUGUCUGCUUGGGAAGAUCUGUUACACGCCGGACACCUUACAAAUAAGGACUUACAUUUUGCAAAGAGCAGAAACCAAGAGGUUGAGGCAGGAGUUUUUAGUGUUUCAUUCUUCUUUUUUCUUUCUUUCUUUAUAUAUUUU
Oryctolagus cuniculus (rabbit) is the source of this 7029-nucleotide non-coding RNA. Lineage: Eukaryota; Metazoa; Chordata; Mammalia; Lagomorpha; Leporidae. The record is from RefSeq and is a predicted model, not a curated record.